AUGUGUGUUCUUUGUAGCAUGAAGACUCUUGAAACAAGAGAUCAUCUUUUCUUUCACUAUCUAUUCGCAAAGAUAUGCUGGAACUACAUAUGUCCUUCUUGGACAUCCAAUGGAUUAGGUCUACAGGACAAGAUUGAUCGAGUGAAGCGACUAAUCAACUUGCCUUUCUAUUUGGAAAUUAUCAUUCUUGUGACUUGGGCUCUAUGGAACACAAGGAAUGACUUCAUAUUUAAGCAUAUAAGCCCUGUGCGAGAGCAGAAACUUCUUAACCUCGGUGCGAGGGGACGUGCUGCAUAUUAUAGGCAGGGGCGCAUGAUCCCUGAAGCGCAUACAACGAUAGUUGAGAUAUUACAGGAGACUUGGAGAAGAAGAGAUAAAGAGAUAAGGUAG
RNAcentral lists this ribosomal RNA (390 nucleotides) under Triticum aestivum (bread wheat). Its description in RNAcentral is "partial small subunit ribosomal RNA". Lineage: Eukaryota; Viridiplantae; Streptophyta; Magnoliopsida; Poales; Poaceae. The record is from RNAcentral.